AUUAGUUUAAAUUGUUUACGUCAAGUUGAUAUAAAGUCAUUAAUUGCUUAUUCUUCUGUUGCUCAUAUAGGGAUUGUUUUAGCAGGAAUUAUAAAUUUAAGAAAUUGAGGAAUUUGUGGAGGGUAUAGAUUAAUAAUUGGUCAUGGAUAGAUCGGAAGACGGUU
Teleopsis dalmanni is the source of this 164-nucleotide long non-coding RNA. RefSeq lists it as uncharacterized. Lineage: Eukaryota; Metazoa; Arthropoda; Insecta; Diptera; Diopsidae. The record is from RefSeq and is a predicted model, not a curated record. The transcript is spliced from 3 exons.